RNAcentral lists this ribosomal RNA (740 nucleotides) under uncultured microorganism. RNAcentral describes it as "bacterial SSU rRNA". It matches the Rfam family "Bacterial small subunit ribosomal RNA", at positions 90 to 828 of the family's 1533-position model. The record is from RNAcentral.
GGCGACCGGCAAACGGGUGCGGAACACGUACACAACCUUCCUUUAAGUGGGGAAUAGACCAGGGAAACUUGGAUUAAUACCCCGUAACAUUAUGAAGUGGCAUCGCUUUAUAAUUAAAGCUCCGGCGCUUAAUGAUGGGUGUGCGGCUGAUUAGGUAGUUGGCGGGGUAACGGCCCACCAAGCCUGCGAUCAGUAACUGGUGUGAGAGCACGACCAGUCACACGGGCACUAAGACACGGGCCCGACUCCUACGGGAGGCAGCAGUAAGGAAUAUUGGUCAAUGGACGCAAGUCUGAACCAGCCAUGCCGCGUGGAGGAUGAAGGUCCUCUGGAUUGUAAACUUCUUUUAUUUGGGAAGAAACCCAUAGUUUCUACUGUGGUUGACGGUACCAGAUGAAUAAGCACCGGCUAACUCCGUGCCAGCAGCCGCGGUAAUACGGAGGGUGCAAGCGUUAUCCGGAUUCACUGGGUUUAAAGGGUGCGUAGGUGGGCAGGUAAGUCAGUGGUGAAAUCCCCAAGCUUAACUUGGGAACUGCCAUUGAUACUAUUUGUCUUGAAUACCGUGGAGGUGAGCGGAAUAUGUCAUGUAGCGGUGAAAUGCUUAGAUAUGACAUAGAACACCAAUUGCGAAGGCAGCUUGCUACGCGGAUAUUGACACUGAUGCACGAAAGCGUGGGGAUCAAACAGGAUUAGAUACCCUGGUAGUCCACGCCCUAAACGAUGGAUACUCGACAUACGCG